AAAUGGACUCUCAGCAACGAUAUCUUGCUCUGCAC
RNAcentral lists this ribosomal RNA (35 nucleotides) under Frullania magellanica. RNAcentral's name for it is "partial 5.8S ribosomal RNA". The record is from RNAcentral. Lineage: Eukaryota; Viridiplantae; Streptophyta; Jungermanniopsida; Porellales; Frullaniaceae.